UACGUAGGGGGCAAGCGUUAUCCGGAUUUACUGGGUGUAAAGGGGGCGCAGACGGCAGCGCAAGCCAGGAGUGAAAGCCCGGGGCCCAACCCCGGGACUGCUCUUGGAACUGCGCGGCUGGAGUGCAGGAGGGGCAGGCGGAAUUCCUGGUGUAGCGGUGAAAUGCGUAGAUAUCAGGAGGAACACCGGUGGCGAAGGCGGCCUGCUGGACUGCGACAGACGUUGAGGCCCGAAAGCGUGGGGAGCAAACAGG
This 253-nucleotide ribosomal RNA is filed under the name uncultured bacterium. RNAcentral describes it as "partial 16S ribosomal RNA". It matches the Rfam family "Bacterial small subunit ribosomal RNA", at positions 524 to 776 of the family's 1533-position model. The record is from RNAcentral.